UGGGGGUGCAGUUCUCUUUCGGGAAUCCUCAUUAGUGUUCGCGACAAUGGACAGAAUGGCCGUCCCCAAACCUUUACAUUUAAUCCUGAGGACGGCACAGCUACCAUCAACGACCUUCAGGACUGUACUACGUAUCGCAUUAAAGCGGCUUUUCAGAACAAGGAUGAGUUGGGGAUCUAUUCAGAUGUGUUGUCUGUGAGCACAUCUAAGAUACGACCUGCAAGUGUAGAGACCUUACAGACGUCGCCAGCAACCACCCACAUUGAUGUCAGCUGGGUAGUAUCUUCAAGUAUAUGUGAUCCUGACUACUUUAUCUUACGAUACAGUCUCUACAGAAAACUUGCAUGCCCAUCACCAGAAACCACCCUUGUACAAAUUGAAGUCAACACUACAUCUACACUAUUUAGGCUAGAUGGGUUAGAGCCUUAUUCGCGGUACAAAAUUUCUGUUAUCGCAGUAAAUAUUAUUGGGGAGAGUGAACCGACGACUCGCAGUGUUGACACAGUGGCGGGACCACCGGCUGUCAUCAGGAACGUUACGGUUAAUCCAGAAAGAACGUCUUCAACACGACUAGUGUUCACCUGGGAACCUCUCAAUUGUAAAAAUGUGAAUGGGGAUUUUUGGUACUACUAUCCAAGGAUCUUCAAGUUCGGAAAUAAAAAAAUAAUUAAUUAUUACUACUUUGAUAAUGACAUAACAGUAUCAUCAGUAAAGUUUGAAAAUCUUGAGUCAUGUACGACGUAUCAACUGAUUAUCUACGCUAGAAACAGAGGUGUAAGCGAUGAAGGAGACUUUUCUGUCACAACCGGCUUGACAGGAGUUACUUGUAAGUACCAAACAGGGGCGACCCUGGAAUAUUUUGAAUGAUGAGGCGUGAGAUCAAGGAAUACAUACUCCUAGGUAGAGAUAAUCUCUUAACCCUACUGAACUAGGCUAUUUUGCUACAUGAAAGUACCCCCCCCUCCGUUCCUCAGAUCUCGGGUCAAAAGGGACCAAAUGCC
Molecule: long non-coding RNA, 1001 nt
Organism: Lytechinus pictus (painted urchin)
Lineage: Eukaryota; Metazoa; Echinodermata; Echinoidea; Temnopleuroida; Toxopneustidae
Exons: 3
Source: RefSeq, a predicted model, not a curated record